UGCGACCGGAGCCCACGCGCCGUUUCGAGGCGCUGGCRGGCUGUGCGUGGUGCGGCUGUGCCGGAGGGUGCGCCGGGGCCCUCGGAGAUCUACUUUCCCUUCAAUCAACUGAAGCUCUGCAGGUGCUUCUAAGAUUUACUUGCCUGCAGUUACUGCAGGUGAAUUAAUUUAAGCACAAAGACCUAUGGGCCCAUGAAGCACCCUGCACCUUGCUGAGGAGGUGCCAAUGUCCAGUCCUGGUGCUCUGCUGCCCUCCCUGGGGCCUUCCCUCAGAGCCGAGAUGCUGCCCGUGUGGAAAUGUUCCUGGUGGUGACUAGAAUGUACCAGCUCUGUCAGUUCCCAAGCAGCCCUGAAAGCAAGACCAGGACCCACCUCACRAGCACGUGUCCUGGCACAUCUAGACCCUGCUCAGCUCCAUCCUGACAUGUCAACGUGUUUGGUGUUGGUGGUGCUGUCUUGACCAUUGACCCCACUGGAACAUGGACCUCAUGGAGCUGCAGUGCACUGAGCAAUGGAUCAGGAAACAUUCUUCAAAACCAGUGCUGCCAAGACACAUGGGGAUCCAUGCUGGCAUCAAACCCUUUCAUUGCCAGCACUGCAAGUAAACAAGACUUCAGGCCCUCCCUGAUGUAGCAUAUGCAAUGGCUUACAGCAUAUGGGUGAGAAGGUUUUCAUAUGUAAAAUCUGCUCCAAUGCCUCCAUUGAUGCAAGUUCUUUGCGGUGGCGCUUCCAAGCCCAGGCCAGUGAGAGACUGGUCUGUUCAUACAGUUGUUCUCUAUAUAAAAUAGUAAGUGAUUAAAGAAGAUCUGAUGCAGAUGCAAGAAAAUGUACACCCUGCUAGAAACUAAAGAAUAUCUUGGACCCUAUCUUGUCCUACAGUUUGAACAGAAAGUUGGAAAUCUGUAUCAAGAAUAGCACUUGGUUCUUUUUCAUGAAGUAUAGUUGGACAUCUAUAAAAAGUAUUAAAGAGGGAGGAGAAGAAAAACUUCCUUUCCUCAUCUCUUCCCUGCUAGAAGAUACUUCUUAAAAGCAAAUUCAUGAYGACUUAUAAAACUGAAAGGUAAUCGGGAAGAAGUCUGAGUCAGAAUUGCUCAAAUAGGAUUUUCACCUGAAUAUUAGCAUUGGAUUUGUACUCUGCAAGGUAAUGUAUUCUAUUAGUGUACUAUUUCCUUUCUUGGUCAUAGCUAACCAGAUUUAAUGGUAUGUAUGAUACAUAUUCUUGCAUUUCAUUACUUGAAAACUUCUUGGGUAGAUUUUCAAUAAAUUUGAACUUUGG
Molecule: long non-coding RNA, 1276 nt
Organism: Nothoprocta perdicaria
Lineage: Eukaryota; Metazoa; Chordata; Aves; Tinamiformes; Tinamidae
Exons: 8
Source: RefSeq, a predicted model, not a curated record